RNAcentral lists this ribosomal RNA (308 nucleotides) under uncultured Thermobacillus sp. Its description in RNAcentral is "bacterial SSU rRNA". It matches the Rfam family "Bacterial small subunit ribosomal RNA", at positions 1088 to 1397 of the family's 1533-position model. The record is from RNAcentral. Lineage: Bacteria; Bacillati; Bacillota; Bacilli; Caryophanales; Paenibacillaceae.
CGCAACGAGCGCAACCCUUGAUCUUAGUUGCCAGCAUUCAGUUGGGCACUCUAAGGUGACUGCCGGUGACAAACCGGAGGAAGGUGGGGAUGACGUCAAAUCAUCAUGCCCCUUAUGACCUGGGCUACACACGUGCUACAAUGGGCAGAACAAAGGGCAGCGAAACCGCGAGGUUAAGCCAAUCCCACAAAUCUGUUCUCAGUUCGGAUCGCAGUCUGCAACUCGACUGCGUGAAGCUGGAAUCGCUAGUAAUCGCGGAUCAGCAUGCCGCGGUGAAUACGUUCCCGGGCCUUGUACACACCGCCCGU